ACAUCGAGUUCAGUUGGUAGAGCAUUGGAUUAGCAAACCAAAGUCGCGGGUUCAAUUCCAACCACGGUGAA
This 71-nucleotide transfer RNA is filed under the name Paramuricea clavata. Its description in RNAcentral is "tRNA-Ala". The record is from RNAcentral. Lineage: Eukaryota; Metazoa; Cnidaria; Anthozoa; Malacalcyonacea; Plexauridae.